GGUUUAGUUUUUACUAGACCCCGCACUCGAAAUGCGGCGUGGGGGCAACUCCAUCGUGGGUUCGAAUCCCACCCUCUCCGCCA
Molecule: transfer RNA, 83 nt
Filed under: Pseudochrobactrum saccharolyticum
Lineage: Bacteria; Pseudomonadati; Pseudomonadota; Alphaproteobacteria; Hyphomicrobiales; Brucellaceae
Description: tRNA-Ser
Rfam family: tRNA
About the family: Transfer RNA (tRNA) molecules are approximately 80 nucleotides in length.
Source: RNAcentral